RNAcentral lists this ribosomal RNA (569 nucleotides) under Alteromonas sp. RNAcentral describes it as "bacterial SSU rRNA". It matches the Rfam family "Bacterial small subunit ribosomal RNA", at positions 556 to 1125 of the family's 1533-position model. Lineage: Bacteria; Pseudomonadati; Pseudomonadota; Gammaproteobacteria; Alteromonadales; Alteromonadaceae. The record is from RNAcentral.
GGGCGUAAGCGCACGCAGGCGGUUUGUUAAGCUAGAUGUGAAAGCCCCGGGCUCAACCUGGGACGGUCAUUUAGAACUGGCAGACUAGAGUCUUGGAGAGGGGAGUGGAAUUCCAGGUGUAGCGGUGAAAUGCGUAGAUAUCUGGAGGAACAUCAGUGGCGAAGGCGACUCCCUGGCCAAAGACUGACGCUCAUGUGCGAAAGUGUGGGUAGCGAACAGGAUUAGAUACCCUGGUAGUCCACACCGUAAACGCUGUCUACUAGCUGUUUGUGGCUUUAAGCCGUGAGUAGCGAAGCUAACGCGAUAAGUAGACCGCCUGGGGAGUACGGCCGCAAGGUUAAAACUCAAAUGAAUUGACGGGGGCCCGCACAAGCGGUGGAGCAUGUGGUUUAAUUCGAUGCAACGCGAAGAACCUUACCUACACUUGACAUGUUGAGAAGUUACUAGAGAUAGUUUCGUGCCUUCGGGAACUCAAACACAGGUGCUGCAUGGCUGUCGUCAGCUCGUGUCGUGAGAUGUUGGGUUAAGUCCCGCAACGAGCGCAACCCUUGUCCUUAGUUGCCAGCAUU